This 88-nucleotide transfer RNA is filed under the name Candidatus Sericytochromatia bacterium. RNAcentral's name for it is "tRNA-Ser". It matches the Rfam family "tRNA". Rfam says of the family: Transfer RNA (tRNA) molecules are approximately 80 nucleotides in length. Their secondary structure includes four short double-helical elements and three loops (D, anti-codon, and T loops). Further hydrogen bonds mediate the characteristic L-shaped molecular structure. tRNAs have two regions of fundamental functional importance: the anti-codon, which is responsible for specific mRNA codon recognition, and the 3' end, to which the tRNAs corresponding amino acid is attached (by aminoacyl-tRNA synthetases). tRNAs cope with the degeneracy of the genetic code in two manners: having more than one tRNA (with a specific anti-codon) for a particular amino acid; and 'wobble' base-pairing, i.e. permitting non-standard base-pairing at the 3rd anti-codon position. The record is from RNAcentral. Lineage: Bacteria; Bacillati; Candidatus Sericytochromatia.
GGAGAGGUACCGAAGUGGUCAUAACGGGGCCGUCUCGAAAGCGGUUAGACCCGCAAGGGUCACGUGGGUUCGAAUCCCACCCUCUCCG